AUUGAACGCUGGCGGAAUGCUUUACACAUGCAAGUCGAACGGCAGCACGGGGGCAGCCCUGGUGGCGAGUGGCGAACGGGUGAGUAAUACAUCGGAACGUGCCCGGUCGUGGGGGAUAACGUAGCGAAAGUUACGCUAAUACCGCAUACGAUCUGAGGAUGAAAGCGGGGGACCUUCGGGCCUCGCGCGAUCGGAGCGGCCGAUGUCAGAUUAGGUAGUUGGUGGGGUAAAGGCCUACCAAGCCGACGAUCUGUAGCUGAUCUGAGAGGACGACCAGCCACACUGGGACUGAGACACGGCCCAGACUCCUACGGGAGGCAGCAGUGGGGAAUUUUGGACAAUGGGCGCAAGCCUGAUCCAGCCAUUCCGCGUGCAGGACGAAGGCCUUCGGGUUGUAAACUGCUUUUGUACGGAACGAAAAGGCUCUGGCUAAUACCUGGGGCUCAUGACGGUACCGUAAGAAUAAGCACCGGCUAACUACGUG
This 484-nucleotide ribosomal RNA is filed under the name uncultured bacterium. RNAcentral's name for it is "partial 16S ribosomal RNA". It matches the Rfam family "Bacterial small subunit ribosomal RNA", at positions 30 to 507 of the family's 1533-position model. The record is from RNAcentral.